UGGGGAAUCUUGCGCAAUGGGCGAAAGCCUGACGCAGCCAUGCCGCGUGAAUGAUGAAGGUCUUAGGAUUGUAAAAUUCUUUCACCGGGGACGAUAAUGACGGUACCCGGAGAAUAAGCACCGGCUAACUACGUGCCAGCAGCCGCGGUAAUACGGAGGGUGCAAGCGUUAUCCGGAUUCACUGGGUUUAAAGGGUGCGUAGGCGGACAUUUAAGUCAGGGGUGAAAUCCCGGGGCUCAACCUCGGAAUUGCCUUUGAUACUGGGUGUCUUGAGUGUGAGAGAGGUAUGUGGAACUCCGAGUGUAGAGGUGAAAUUCGUAGAUAUUCGGAAGAACACCAGUGGCGAAGGCGACAUACUGGCUCAUUACUGACGCUGAGGCUCGAAAGCGUGGGGAGCAAACA
Molecule: ribosomal RNA, 402 nt
Filed under: uncultured bacterium
Lineage: Bacteria
Description: bacterial SSU rRNA
Rfam family: Bacterial small subunit ribosomal RNA
Source: RNAcentral